UUGCCAGCCUUAUACCUGCACAAAAACGAAGAGAUGACAUGAUGGAUCCAAUCCAACCAAUUUGCUCUGAGGUGCCUUCCAACUCUUCUUGAAAGACCACAAAGAAAAUUGCAAAAGUCUUGGUCAUCCCCAUCACAAACACAUUCACCUAAAUCAAAGCAGACCAGAGUCCAACUCAGGUAGAAGAGUGUCUUCAUCUCUGCAUCCCUAGUGCAACAGAGCAUGAUAAAAAUUCAAUAAAUAUUUAUUGCAGAGUCUUGAUGUCUUUUGGGAAAGGAACUCUAUGGUUACCUUUACUCUAAGUUAAAAAACAACAACAACAACAAAAAAAAAACCCACAAAACCCUGAGGCUCAGAAGAUAAAUAUUUGCUGAAGAUCACUGUGCUUAUUAGAAGGGUGUUACUGAUUCUUACCUCAGAGAAGAGAAUGUCAUGGAGACAAAAUGACCUGCUUAGAGUUCUGCGCCCCCCAGCAUGGAGAGCAGAGCGCAAAGAUUUCCUCCAGACUCCCACAUUCUCCCUUGGAAUCCAAGAACUUGUCUACUAUCACAACACUUUAGUACCCACUUAGAUGGGGUCUCACUCUGUUGCCCAGGCUGGUCUCAAACUCCUGGCUUCAAGGAAUCCUCCUGCUUCGGCCUCCCAAACUUCUGGGAUUACAGAUAUGAGCCACCAUGGCUGACUGACGGGCACCAAAUUCUAGGAGAGGACUUGAAUAGGCUCCUAAGGAGGCAGCAGAAACCAAGGUAAUCACAAUGGUCAACAGCAGCGAAGGCAGCACUUUCUGAUUUUAAACUUGACUGCUAUGGAUGCCACCUCAGUUUAAU
RNAcentral lists this non-coding RNA (827 nucleotides) under Pongo abelii (Sumatran orangutan). The record is from RNAcentral. Lineage: Eukaryota; Metazoa; Chordata; Mammalia; Primates; Hominidae.